This 506-nucleotide ribosomal RNA is filed under the name uncultured bacterium. RNAcentral's name for it is "partial 16S ribosomal RNA". It matches the Rfam family "Bacterial small subunit ribosomal RNA", at positions 29 to 523 of the family's 1533-position model. The record is from RNAcentral.
AUUGAACGCUGGCGGCAGGCCUAACACAUGCAAGUCGGACGGUAGCACAGAGGAGCUUGCUCCUCGGGUGACGAGUGGCGGACGGGUGAGUAAUGUCUGGGGAUCUGCCCGAUAGAGGGGGAUAACCACUGGAAACGGUGGCUAAUACCGCAUAACGUCGCAAGACCAAAGAGGGGGACCUUCGGGCCUCUCACUAUCGGAUGAACCCAGAUGGGAUUAGCUAGUAGGCGGGGUAACGGCCCACCUAGGCGACGAUCCCUAGCUGGUCUGAGAGGAUGACCAGCCACACUGGAACUGAGACACGGUCCAGACUCCUACGGGAGGCAGCAGUGGGGAAUAUUGCACAAUGGGCGCAAGCCUGAUGCAGCCAUGCCGCGUGUAUGAAGAAGGCCUUCGGGUUGUAAAGUACUUUCAGCGGGGAGGAAGGCGAUGUGGUUAAUAACCGCGUCGAUUGACGUUACCCGCAGAAGAAGCACCGGCUAACUCCGUGCCAGCCGCCGCCGUAA